This 206-nucleotide ribosomal RNA is filed under the name uncultured bacterium. Its description in RNAcentral is "partial 16S ribosomal RNA". It matches the Rfam family "Bacterial small subunit ribosomal RNA", at positions 568 to 774 of the family's 1533-position model. The record is from RNAcentral.
UGCGUAGGCGGCUUAGCAAGCCAGAAGUGAAAGGCAUUGGCUCAACCAAUGUAAGCUUUUGGAACUGUUAGGCUUGAGUGCAGGAGAGGAAAGUGGAAUUCCUAGUGUAGCGGUGAAAUGCGUAGAUAUUAGGAGAAACACCAGUGGCGAAGGCGACUUUCUGGACUGUAACUGACGCUGAGGCACGAAAGCGUGGGGAGCGAACA